This 351-nucleotide ribosomal RNA is filed under the name uncultured bacterium. RNAcentral describes it as "partial 16S ribosomal RNA". It matches the Rfam family "Bacterial small subunit ribosomal RNA", at positions 338 to 686 of the family's 1533-position model. The record is from RNAcentral.
CCUACGAGGUGCUGCAGUGAGGAAUAUUGGUCAAUGGGCGCAAGCCUGAACCAGCCCAGUCGCGUGAAGGAUGACUGCCCUCCGGUUUGUAAACUUCUUUUAUAAAGGAAUCAAGUGAGGCACGUGUGCCUUUUUGUAUGUACUUUAUGAAUAAGGAUCGGCUAACUCCGUGCCAGCAGCCGCGGUAAUACGGAGGAUCCGAGCGUUAUCCGGAUUUAUUGGGUUUAAAGGGAGCGUAGAUGGGUUGUUAAGUCAGUUGUGAAAGUUUGCGGAUCAACCGUAAAAUUGCAAUUGAUACUGGCAGUCUUGAGUACAGGUGAGGUAGGCGGAAUUCGGGGUGUAGCGGUGAAA